RNAcentral lists this ribosomal RNA (376 nucleotides) under Natatolana rossi. RNAcentral describes it as "partial 16S ribosomal RNA". The stretch from base 83 to 376 matches the Rfam family "Bacterial large subunit ribosomal RNA", at positions 2078 to 2620 of the family's 2925-position model. Lineage: Eukaryota; Metazoa; Arthropoda; Malacostraca; Isopoda; Cirolanidae. The record is from RNAcentral.
GAAGGGGUUAACUAGAUAAAUGCUUUAUUUUCUAAUUUUAAAUAACUUAUUUUUUAAGUAAAAAAACUUAAAUUAUCUAAAGGGACGAAAAGACCCUAAAAUCUUGUUGAUACGGUUUUUAAAGAGUGUUAUCAGUUUAAUUGGGGUGAUUAAAAUUUUUAACAAUUUAAAUUUUUACACUUUGGGUGAGGUUGAAAAGCUUUAUGACAUAAAAAAAAGUUACUUUAGGGAUAACAGCGUAAUGAUUUCGUAGAGUUCUUAUCGAUGAAAUAGUUUGCGACCUCGAUGUUGAAUUAAACAUCUCGACUUAGUAGUAGAAGACAGAAGUAAGUCUGUUCGACUUUUAAUUGUUUACAUGAUCUGAGUUCAAACCGGA